Long non-coding RNA from Oncorhynchus tshawytscha (Chinook salmon), 470 nucleotides. The record is from Ensembl. Lineage: Eukaryota; Metazoa; Chordata; Actinopteri; Salmoniformes; Salmonidae.
CACACACAUAUGCUCCAGCCCUGGGUCUGAUACCGUGUCAAUAAUGCAGUAGAAGAUGCCCCUUCACGCCUCACGUGGCAGACCAACCAAGGAGGAGGUGCAGAGUUGAAUCUGAGGAGACAACACUGAUGCUGUACAGUGCAUCAUCUGCUGUUUCAUUCCCUGGCCUGCUGUGAAUUAAGGAUGGAGAGAAACAAAAAAAUGAAGAUUGCAAGCUAUCAACCAGAUGUCCAAGUCAAGAUAGUGACGCAGCAGCAACAAUCACAACCCAAUUCUGAUGGACUGAGAGCUGUGGCCUCGGCCCAUGAGGAGUUGUCGCUCUGACAACAGGCAGGGAAAGGUUGAUGACAGCCCCGUCUUCCAUCACAUAUCCACCCACUUCAUCCACAAUUCUGUCAAAAGCAUCCGCAGCCUGACUUAGAGGGAAAACCCUUCUUUAAAAGAUGUCCAGGAAGUAUAGAUACAGGGAC